UCAGUGAAUAAAACUGUAAAUUAGGAUUUAAAAACGACAGCAAAGAGUCUGUAGGCUACAAAUAAAAAAAGCAAUAUAAUAAUAAUAAUAAUAAUAAAUUGGAUUUAUAUAGCGCCUUUCAAUAAACCCAACGACGCUUUACAAAGAGGGCACACAAAAUCAUACUGACAUAUAAAAAACAAAGGAAAGAUAAGGAUAUUAAAACAAGUGAUGUGUAGGAAGAGUUAGAGGUCAUAGGCCUCGAUGAACAGGUGGUGCUUGAGGUGUUUUUUGAAAGUGUCCAGGGAUGAAGCAUUUCUAAUCUCAGGAGGGAGUGUAGGUCUGUAACCAUGCACUGUAUCCAGCAGAGCACUCUUCCAUCACAUGUACUACAGAUCAUCUGCCAGCAGGGGAAUUCAGUAAAAUGACAUCCCUCUGCAUGCACAGUGCAUCCUCCCAUCACAUGUGCAGCCACACUACUGCACUGCCAGACCCAAAGGACUAACACAUGCUUUCCUACUAAAUCUACGUGGUGGUGAUUCAUGUGCUGACCUUGGGUGCCGACCACUAUGACUGGGAUGUCCGAGCGGUGUGCACUCAGCUGGCUGUAGAGCUGGUAGAGCUCUUGGAAGCUGCCCUCGUGCUCCAGACUGAAGACCAGGAUCACUGCGUCAACCCAGCUGCUGAACUGAAGGAGGAAGAGGAGGACGGAUGAUGAAGACUGCAGCCUUUCCUUGGCACGCAGUCAGUCGACCACAUCCCACUCGCUUAUUAAGUCCAAAAAAGAGAGGUGGCUCUCAUUUUAGCAUUAGUGAACUCCACACUCACAGAUCCAGGCCCCUCGGAGGAUACACUGACUUUGAUCCUCUCUGAAGCAGCCUAAUUAUACCAACAACAAAAAAAAUUCAGCUGAAUGUUUUAACACAUUGGGGAUGUGCUUCUCAGAGUGUGUCAAGAUCUGCCAGAUCCUAAAAAGACCUCAAAGCUCCCCAAAAUCCAUCAGGGGGCUGACUGACCUUCAUUUCACACACAAACAGUGGAAUGAGUAUAACAGCUAAUGAAUAAACGGAUGAAAUCAAAAGGUGAGCUGGUUAUUUCAUCAGGUUAUUCCACUCGAUCUGACCUCGCCAGUGGUGGAAAGUACAUUCACUCAAGAACAAAUUUGAGUGUACUUCACAUGAGUAUUUCCAAUUUAUGCUGUUUUAUACUUCUACUCUGUUACAUUCCAGAGGGAAAUAUUGUACUUUUUACUUAACUACAUUUAUCUAACCGUGGUUGAUUUUCCUGUACAAACAUAUGAUUAACUUACUUAAUAUGAUGCAUUAAAAUAGAUUAAAGGCCCCUCAUACCAACCAUUAUGUGCUGAUUAGACCUGCUCAGGCUUGAGUUGCGAUUUUUGCCCUGGUGGAUGAAGUACUGAGAUCUUUUAAUUAAGUAAAAAUAGCAAUACCACACUAUAUACUGUAUAUAUAAAAUAUUUCACUGUGAGUAAAAGUCUUGAAUUCUUAAUUUUGCUUAAAGGUACAGUGUGUAGGAUUUGGCGCCAUCUAGCGGUGUGUUUGCACGUUACAACCAACUGAGUACCCCUCCGCUCACUCCUCCCUUUCCAAGACUGCAUUAACGUG
Molecule: long non-coding RNA, 1604 nt
Organism: Sebastes umbrosus (honeycomb rockfish)
Lineage: Eukaryota; Metazoa; Chordata; Actinopteri; Perciformes; Sebastidae
Exons: 3
Source: RefSeq, a predicted model, not a curated record